Long non-coding RNA from Micropterus salmoides (largemouth bass), 247 nucleotides. RefSeq lists it as uncharacterized. Lineage: Eukaryota; Metazoa; Chordata; Actinopteri; Centrarchiformes; Centrarchidae. The transcript has 3 exons. The record is from RefSeq and is a predicted model, not a curated record.
CACUGCACAGUGGAACAAGUGGACCCAAACGGAACAGGCUUGAUUGAGGGACUGGAGGUGAGGGAGAGGCGGACGCCAGGGAAACACGGGCAAGGGGAACUGAGGAGACUGAGACAAGGGAGCCAGGGGCACUGGGGACCAGCCCAGCUGACGGAACGGAGGACGGAGGUAUAGAACCAGAACCUGAACAUCACCUUCAUCACCAAAAAGGCCCAGCAGAGGAUGUACUUCCUGCGGCAGCUGAAGA